RNAcentral lists this long non-coding RNA (223 nucleotides) under Ananas comosus (pineapple). RNAcentral's name for it is "long non-coding RNA (ACOM_LNC041721)". The record is from RNAcentral. Lineage: Eukaryota; Viridiplantae; Streptophyta; Magnoliopsida; Poales; Bromeliaceae.
CCCGGCUCCAGGGCUUGGACCAGAAUCCUUGACGCUACCGAGAGUGUCGACGGUCGCGAACCCGUGCCCCGGACCUCCCAUGCUGGGGCCGGCGCUCUUCGAUGCUCCGAGGAGCCGUAAACUGUUCAGCACAUUGCCGAUGACGAUCGCCCCGACAUCUCCGUCCUCUCGUAACGGAUUCAGCGGCCUCGCUUUCGCGCACGAAAAUACGAGGCUCGCAACC